UACGGAGGGUGCAAGCAUUAAUCGGAUUUAUUGGGCGUAAAGGGCGCGUAGGCGGGGAUAAUAGUCAGAUGUGAAAUCCUGGGGCUCAACCUCAGAACUGCAUUUGAAACUGUAUCUCUAGAGGGUAGGAGGAGAAAACGGAAUUCCACAAGUAGCGGUGAAAUGCGUAGAUAUGUGGAAGAACACCGGUGGCGAAGGCGGUUUUCUAUCUUAUUCCUGACGCUGAGGCGCGAAAGCAAGGAGAUCAAACAGG
This 253-nucleotide ribosomal RNA is filed under the name uncultured bacterium. RNAcentral's name for it is "partial 16S ribosomal RNA". It matches the Rfam family "Bacterial small subunit ribosomal RNA", at positions 524 to 776 of the family's 1533-position model. The record is from RNAcentral.